GCUUAGCCCUAAACCUUAAUAAUUUAAUAACAAAAAUAUUUGCCAGAGAACUACUAGCCACAGCUUAAAACUCAAAGGACUUGGCGGUACUUUAUAUCCAUCUAGAGGAGCCUGUUCUGUAAUCGAUAAACCCCGCUCUACCUCACCAUCUCUUGCUAAUUCAGCCUAUAUACCGCCAUCUUCAGCAAACCCUAAAAAGGCAUUAAAGUAAGCACAAGAACAACCAUAAAAACGUUAGGUCAAGGUGUAGCCAAUGAAAUGGAUAGAAAUGGGCUACAUUUUCUUUUCCAAGAACAUCAACGAUACCCUUUAUGAAAUCUAAAGGGCCAAGGAGGAUUUAGUAGUAAAUUAAGAAUAGAGAGCUUAAUUG
RNAcentral lists this ribosomal RNA (370 nucleotides) under Millardia meltada (soft-furred rat). Its description in RNAcentral is "partial 12S ribosomal RNA". The record is from RNAcentral. Lineage: Eukaryota; Metazoa; Chordata; Mammalia; Rodentia; Muridae.